RNAcentral lists this long non-coding RNA (8886 nucleotides) under Sorghum bicolor (sorghum). RNAcentral's name for it is "long non-coding RNA (SBIC_LNC016692)". The record is from RNAcentral. Lineage: Eukaryota; Viridiplantae; Streptophyta; Magnoliopsida; Poales; Poaceae.
UUCCACUACCUUUUGCACGAUGUGUUGUUAUGUCAUAUGAACACUUCAUAAGUCCAUGUGUCAUAAUCUACAUACAUUUAACUGAUAUAUAUCAUAUUUUAUAGGAAUACUAAUCUAAAUAAAAAAAAUUAAAACUAGCAACAAACUUCUCAUGUUUUAAUAUAAUACUAAGGUAUAGUAAGAGAUAAUAUUAGAGUAAGAUAAGGUUUGACUAAUUUAUUUUUAUUAUUAAAUAAAUAUAUCUCCGAGCUACAUAUUAUUGUAAAUAUUAACUAUUUAACCAUAGAUGUCAUGGUUAUAAAAUAAAUUAUGGGCUUUAAAUUUUAUAAAAAGGAUAUAUAUAAAUAGAUAUGUAACAUUAUGCCAUUACUUUCUAUGACCAUUUGAUGUUUUUCUCCCGUUGCAACGCACAGGUAUAUUAGCUAGUUAUUAUUUAACCAUGAACUAACUAAGUUCAAAAGAUUCGUCUUAUAAAUUAUAGAUAAAUUAUGAAAUUAGCUACUUUUUAUCUAUAUUUAAUGCUCCAUGCAUGUUCCGCAAGAUUUAAUGUGAUGAAAAAUUGUAACAUCCCAAAAAUUCACAUUCAAAAAAAAUCACUCGCAUUAAAAAAAUUAUUUUCAAAAUAUAUUUCAAAAACUAUAAAUCAUUUGAGCUCUAUAGUAUCUCCAUCUAAUUUCUUUUCCAUCCAUUCUAAUUAUCCAUCUUUAAAUAUAACCUGCACCGCAUGGCAUGAGCAUCAUAUGUCCGCUACUUAUCCCUCUUGCUCGCUCGCUCUGCCCGAUACCCGGCAACGGCGCGUGCGCCGACCCCACCACCAUCAGCGCCGCAGCGCACUCACGCCCGGCCCCCUCGCCGAGCGCACUCGCUCGCGCGCGCACCGCGGCAUGCAGGCCCCACCUCUUGCCUUUUCCCGCGUCUCUUUUGCUGUACAAAAAGAUAGCAAGUCGUAACGUACAACUAGGCACCAUUUAUAUUUUUCGCGCACAAAUAAUAGCAAGUACCAGCAAGCUUACAUGCGAGAAAACAUAGCAGUGCACCUACACGAAUAUAUAUCUCAUGCAUGCAUGCAGGACAUGCCACCGACCAUUUGCAUGCACCUGCAUGCAAGGACACAGUGAUUAGGCACCGUCCAUUUGCAUGCAACGUGCAUGCAAAUGGGACAUCGUCCUUUGCAUGAAAUUAGGCACCGACCAUGCGCUACAGUAGCAUUUUUAAUGGCACGCAGCUGAGCGCUUUGGCCUAUAAAAAGCCAGCCUCGGGUGCUCACUCUCACCACCCGAGAAACACGUUCACUCACUCGCUCACUCGCUCUCACUUCGCGUAUACCGACGGCCAUACGCACAAGCCGAGCUCGACUGUCGUCGCAAGACGAGGUGAGCAGCUCAUGAGCAUCUCCUUGCUCUUCUCUAUCUUUCUGUAGUAUUUUUCUGUAUUUUUCCUUGUAUUUGUCUGUACCGAUUCACUGCCAAAAACUCCACGAAUAGAACCAUGACAUACAGAAGAGCUCUAAGGACCCCUGCUAAUUUCUCUCUAACCAUGCAUGUGUAGGCCAUAAGCAUUAACUCCAAGUAGUACAUGCAUGCAUGCAACAUGCACUACCAGCCAAAAUUCAUCUCGUGAAGCAUGUAUUUCUUAAUUAUCGUUAGCCUUUUUCGCAUGAUUAAAGUCCGGCCAUUUUACAAAUGCCACAUGCUAACUCUGAUUUCAAUAAUUCUUUUUCCUAAAUUUAUCUAAAAUCAUGAUCUACCUCCCAUAUUAAUUUCAUGAUUUUUGGAGCUCAUUUGAAUUUAUAUGAUUAUUUAUCUGUGCCUGUUGUCUGUGUCGUUCGUCGCGUAUUUUAGUUGACGGAGUGAACGAACCGGAGAACGAGAACGUUGGAGACGAGUACCGCGAGUUUGACGCCGAGGACCCGGACUGUCAGCAGGAGUUUGCCGAGGACGCCGACGGAGGCAAGUCCAACCGAUCCCCUUUGAUGCAUAUUGAUCCUAUUUUUAAACACAAUCCAUAGAAGCCGUUUUAAAUAUUGCAUGUACGAUAUAUGUACGAAGUAUUUUCGCUGCUUAGUUAAAACCUGUUGAAUAGCCAUCCUUGAAUUGAUAUUACCCGAUAAUUGUCUUGUUCGAACUUAGGAACAAAUAAUAUGCUAUGACAGAAAUAUUAUUAUUUAGUAUGCUUAGGACUUGUUACUCAUCCUGGAUACUCAUCGCUAUAUUUUUUUCAAAUAUAAUGAUUUUAAAGGUAAAAGGUGUGAGUGGUGAAAAUAAAUUGUGGGUAUUAUGAAAGGGUUAAUGAACAAGUUAUAGAUGUGAUUACUAUAGAGAUGGGGCGGAUGGGAUCUCUUUUGGGGAUGCCCUGGUGUUGUGGCUUAUACCUUGCGGGGUUAAGCGUGAAGAUAUCCGCCUUGUCUCGAUUAAGGACUGACUUGAUGAUUCAUCUUGCCUAACUCAUUUAUCGUACAACCACUCGCCUUGCAUGGGAAAGGCUUAGUCUAAAUCCCUCUAGUUAGUAUGGCAAUCACCUGGAGGCAGGUGUGCAACGGGACACUACGUGAUGUAUGUGAAAUUGUGAAAAUGUAUGAAAAGAGCUUUGUGAAUUAUUGUGGUAUCAUGAGAUGUGGCCUUAGUGUUCUCGUGGUGAGCGCCAUUACUUAGCUAUGGAGGGUAUUGACUUUGAUGGAUCUGUGCUUGCACGACGGUGUAAGUUAUGGUAUCCUACUUGUGGAAAAAGUGUACAACCUCUGCAGAGUGUAAAUCUAUCUGGAUAGCCGUGUCCGCGGUCUCGGACGGGUUAUGGUUUGGUUUCAACAACUAGAUGGGUUGGGAUGAGUGAAAAUAUGAGAGUGAGUGUGAUUUUGGAAAUAAAUGGUUGACUGCCAUUAUGUUGUGGGAACAAGGGUUCAACAACACUUAAAAUUGUGACCAAACCCUCAUUUUUAGAAAUACUAUCAUAUGUGGAAAAAGAGUUCUUUUACAACAGUAUUUGUGAAAUGAAACCUUGCAUGUGUAAAAAGAUAGCUUUAUGCAAAUAAAACUAAGCAUCAUCCUUGAUUUAUCCAUAUGCAUAUAUACUGUUAUUCCCUUCCGUAGGGUAAGGUUGGAUUUGCUGAGUACUUUGUACUCACCCUUGCUUUAUUAAACAGAAGAAUAUCCGAACUUCGAUCCGGAAGUGGCGUUCGAGUAAGGUCGUGUCUGCACCCAACUAAGCCUGUGGCAUUGGGACUCGUCAGAUGUUCGAUGGCGAUAUCGUUUGUUUCUGGGUCCUUUGGACCUGUGUUGUAUUUUGGUGUCUUAUUAUUAUAGCGUGCCUUCCUUGCCCACGCUUUCCAAGACUACUGCGCUGAAACUUAUCUGAUGUAAUAAAUGUGUUACUAGCCUCCUGGAACUAGUAUUGUAUCACAUUUGAGUUCCUAGUUUACCAGGGGCGCUUCAAAAAUUUUGAAUUUUUUUUGGAUUUCAUGUGUAACUAAACAAGACCUAAUUAUAGCGAUAAAGUACUUCUCUACAUACCUGCCGAUUUAUUACGAGACGAAGAAAAUAUGCACAAUGAAGCAUUACGGAAAACGAUGGUGACGACUCACGAGCGUCAAAACAAGGCAAUCUCUCUACAGUGAGGAUGGGAAAAUAACAGAAAGUUCAGAUCAGAUCACAGCUCCCAAACACGUACUCCUACUCUUACCCGCUUCCGAGCUCGGACCUAGGAGCGCCGAUACACGACACGGAAGCCGAGCACGCACCAGUAUACUCUUCCCCUUCCUGACCUCCUCCCAGCUCGGCCCCGGCUCCGCAUCUCUCUCUCUCUCGCCCUGCCGUGUGCCGUCUCCGGAGCUGCUCUCACCUCCCCACGCGCGCGCCCUCGACCCCGACUCCGACUCCGUCCCCGCCUCCGCCCCCCCACCCGCUCGGCGCUUUGCGCAGGUAAAUUCCGUGCUCCCCCGCGCUGAUCCGCUCCUAGGGUUUCGGCGCCACGCCGGAUCGAGGAGAAUUCCGAGGUCCUCCUUCGCUGACUUCUUGCCCCCGCUGUUCCAGUCCUUCCAGAUCCCCUUGUCCGGGGAGUGGCGCUGAGGCCUCGCACCGAUGAGCUCGGGGGCCGUCGCGGCCUCGGAUCCUGGGGGUGGCGAGGCGAAGCUGGUGGCGGGCGCUGACGUCACGAUGUCGGAAGCUGAGGGCGAGGUGCCUGCUUUCGCCGCCGAUGUGAAAGUGGAGGGGAAGGCUCCGUUGGCGAUGGAUGUGGCUCAUGAAGGGGGAGAUGUGGCGGUGACCGACCCGCUCUACGCGACCGAGUCGGCUGGUAUGGUUGGUGCCGAAGGGCCCGCAGAGGAGCACAUGGAGGGCGUGGAGGCGGUGAACGGAGAGGACAAUGGCGAGGAGGGGACGCUAGAAGCGGGAGCUGGUGGUCUGCUGACUGAGACAGAGAGGAAGCCUGUUCUGGAGGUAGAUGUGGCUGCUGCUGCUGCUGAUUCUGCCACUCCUGAACAUAAUGAAGCCGGUAAGGAGACUGCUCAGAGCCCUGUGCUUGUAGGUGUGCUCCCUAUUGAUGACACUGAUUUAACUAAACAUCUUGAAUUGUAUUCGCCUAAUUCCAUUUCAGAAUCCAGCGAGCUUGAAGAAAAUCAUGUAAAUGCGGAGCCUGUGAGAAAGAAUAAUGAAAGCGAUAAUGGCUUAGCACAUUCUGAUACGGAAAUACAGAACAAUGUGCCUGGUGACAUAGAGGGAAGCUCCAAGGAACAUGAAGGUGAUGGAGCACCUGCAGUUGACCAGCCGGAUAAUGCAUCUGAAAUGCUGCCACAAACAACAGAGCAGCUUCCUGAAAGUGGAAAUGGACCGGACAGCAACUUAGAGGCUGCUAACCUGGGGAAUGUUCAUCAGGGUGCUAGAUACUGCUUGCCUCCUCUUGAUAAAGGCGGGUUUCAAGUUACUGAUCUUGUCUGGGGUAAAGUGAAAAGUCAUCCUUGGUGGCCUGGUGAAAUUUUUGAUCCAUCAGAUGCAUCUGAGUUGGCGCUGAAGCAUCAGAAAAAGGGCAGCCACUUGGUAGCUUAUUUUGGUGACAAUACUUUUGCAUGGUGCGAUGAAUCCCAGUUGAAGCCUUUCGUAACAAACUAUUCACAGAUGGAGAAACAGAGCACUUCAGAUGCCUUUGUUGGGUCAGUUAAUAAUGCACUUGAAGAACUCUCGAGGCGGAUAUUGUCAGGUAUGAGCUGCUCUUGUUUGCCAGAAGAGCUUGCUGAUAAUGGCAUGUCCUACACUGUUGAUAAUGCUGGGCUCAAGGAUGGAGUUACUUGCUCUGCAGUUAAUCGGCCCGAGAUCUUAAACUGUUUCAGUCCACAAAACCUUCUUCAUUAUAUUAAGGAGUUAGCUCUAUUUCCUGGCCAAGGAGGUGAUCUGUUGGAGUUAGUGAUAGCGUGUUCUCAACUUACUUCUUUCUAUCGAUCUAAGGGAUGUCCUGAACUUGCAUCAUUUCAAACUGGCGAUGCGUGGGUUGAGGAUGGUGAUGGUCUGGAUGGUACAGACACUUUAUCCACCCAGAAUGUAAUGGUCGAGGAGCCUGUGGUUAAUGAAGUGCGUCCUACUCAAGAGAAGCCUAAAAGGGGCAGGGGGAGACCUCGGAAACAAAAACCUGGUGAUGGACAGGUGGUGAUGGAGAAAAGAAGCACAUCUAAUCAGGUCAAUGUUACUAGCUACGUUGAGAAACAAGUGGGUCUGGAGUUUGAUGACUAUGACACCUUACAGAACAAGAAGAAAAGAAACUUCGACUCAUUUGAAGAUUCAGAGAAGUCAUCAGCUCCGACUGGUGGUAGUUCUUUCAAGAUUGGUGAGUGUAUUCGGCGAGCCGCAAGCCAGCUGACAGGAUCUUCAUCCAUUAUGAAGGCUCAGAAUGAACCAUCAGCCUAUAAGUAUGCUGCUGAAGGAGAGAAUGGGGAAUUUGAUAUCUCUAGUGAUGACGCUGGUGAUGAACUUACUGUGGAGAAACGAGCGAAAAGGAGACGCAUGCACAGAAAUCACACUGCAGAUCCCAAGGAAUUACUAUCACAGCUAUGCAUGGUUGCAACAGAGCCAAUGAAUGGUUAUAGUUUCUCACCUAUGAUAAUCAGUUACUUCAAUGAUUACAGAAACUAUAUUGUUUCUACAACUACUGAAGCUAACAUUGUUGAUAAAGGUACAUCUAGGAGAGGGAGGAAGAGAAAAGAAGUUUUAGCUUCUCCUGAGGUAGAGACAACGGACCAUAUGCAGGACUCGUACUGGUCCGGAUUGAGCUUGCAUAAUCACCCAAUUAAUGACCUCAGAAAAGAGAGUCCCAAUACAAGGCCAAGACGUAGGCGGAGAUCCUCAAGACAUGCAUAUGAACCUUUGUCGGAGCUUGGGGAUCCGGUUCCUAAAAAACAGAUACAAGUUAUGGAAAGAUCUAUCAUCCAUGUUGAUGAGAAGAUGGUUGAUGAGUUGAAGCCCACUGCACUUGUUUUGAGCUUUGGCAGAUCAGCUGCUCUUCCUUCAGAGCUGGAUCUUGUUAAGAUGUUUAGUCGCUAUGGGCCACUGAAAGAAGGGGAGACAGAAGUACACAAGGAAACAAAAACUGUUAAAGUUGUCUUCAAAAAACGUGCCGAUGCUGAAAGGGCUUUUAGUGUUGCUGGCAAGUAUGGCACUUUUGGACCUUCGCUUCGAAGUUACCGUCUUGUCAAUAUGCCAUUUUCUCUAGAGACACCAUCAGGAAAUAAUCCUGUGAAACACCCUGAAGACUGUGGCAUGGAGAUUCCAGGUAAACAUUCUUUCAAUUUACAUGCCUAUACAUAGUACUUCUUCUGUUUCAAAACAUGAGUCAUUAUAUUAGUUGUUUAUUAGGAUUUUAAAAGUCAAACAUCAUAAUUUCUUUACCAAUGUUACUCAAAUUAUAUGCAUGUUAGGACAUAAAAGUUGUAUCAACGGAUUCACAUUCCAUAUGGUUCAACACAAGUUGGUUUGCAGCAAUUGAUGGUAUAUAAUAAGAGUACUUGAUAGUGAAAGACUAAAAGUAUACUUCUAGUUGUUUUUUUAAUCCUAAUACGCCUUAGAAAAAGAAACGGGGACAGUAUUUGACAAAGGCCUUGUUCAGUUGGCAAUUUUUUUUGGUUUCGGGUACUGUAGCAUUUUCGUUUGUAUUUGAUAAAUAUUGUCCAAUCAUGAACUAACUAGGCUUAAAAGAUUUAUCUCACAAAUUACAGGCAAAAUGUGUAAUUAGUUUUUGUUUUUGUCUAUAUUUAAUGCUUCAUGCAUGUGCCCGAUUUGAUGUGACGGGGAAUCUUGAAAAAUUUUGGGUACUUUUUGGAAAGUAAACAAGGCCAAAGUUACUCUGCAGCUUCCAUAAAAUUAAAUGCUUAAUUCUGCCAUGUGAUCAUGCCUUUUCUCUAGGUUCGACUAAGUCCGAAGUUCGUAAGGAUUCCAUGGAAGUUGACCUGGUGCAGAAAACAGAUAAAGUAGAAGUUGCAGGAGAGCUGUCGUCUGAAGAAGUUGAGACUGUGAGGCAAACAUCUCAAGUGGAAGCUGCAGACAGUGCAUUUGUCAGUCAAGUUGACAGUCUUGAGAAAGCUGGAAAUAUUGACGCUGAGCUAAUUGACCAUGCUAAUCAAAUUGGGAAAGGUACAGAAGCUGCAUCUGUGCCUGAAGUGUCAUCUCAGCAAGUUGGUAAUGUUGAGGAAGCUUACACUCAAAAGGAAGUGUCAAUCAGUGAUCUACCCACAGAGACAGAAACCUUACAUUCUGAUGCUAUAAUAAAAGAGUUGCCUCAGAAUGAUGCUCCAGAUAAUAUGCAAACAGAUGCAGUCGAAGCUCCAAAACAGAGUCACAUUUCAGGAGACAAUACCGUAUUUGAGGCAGACACUGAAGCACCAAGUACUGCACAAGAUCAUACUGAGGAUGAUACUGGGAAUGAAGUUCUAGAAGAGCACAUGGUAUCUCCAGAGUUAUUACAAAGUCAAACCUCUGGUGAGAAACUAGUGGGAAAGACAGCAACUGAACAAAAAGUGGGACCUGAGGACCCAGAGUCACAAUCUGAAAAUUUUGCUGCUGAACCUGAACCUUUCGUACAAGGUGCAGUUGAGCAAGUAGAAGUGGAAGUGGAAUCCAAAACUACUGUUGAAGUAUCAGGCGAACAAGGCUGUAGUAUUGAGCAGACUGUUCAAGUGGAAGCUGUAAUUGAAGCAUCAGGUGGACAACUUGAGGUGGAAAGACAAAUUUCAGAAGAUGAAUCUAUGGCUGAUGCAACUACUGAGCACUCUACGGUCAUGGUUGAUGAAACUGUGGAGGCAGAAGUAGUACCAGUCCAGGAGCAUACAGAGAAUGCUGCUGCUGCUGCUGUAGGAGUAGUUGAGGAGACUGCUGAAGGCGAAACUAAGGAGGAAGCGCCAGAAGAGAAGGGGAAAAUAGAGAAUGAAGAUUAUGCUGACAAAUUAGCUGAGGCGACCAGGGCAGGCGAAGUUACAGUUGAGACACCAGAUGAGAAAACAGAAAAUAAAGCAGAUGUUGACACACUAGCUGGGGAGACCAAAGAAGUUGAAAUUACAGUAGGGGCACCAGAUGAGAAAAUAGAAAAUGAAGCUAUUGGGGAGACAAUCGAAGGUCAAACUACAGCUGGAGCACCAGUUGAAGAAGCCAUAACAGCUGAGGAAAUGGUAGAGGAUGUUAAGGUGCUAGAUGAUAAACCUGCAGCAGCUGAGAAACCUGUAGAGGAUGUUAAGGUGCUAGAUGAUAAACCUGCAGCAGCUGAGAAACCUGUAGAGAAUGCCACAGUUGUGACACAUGAGAAUUCAACAGUUGAGAAGACUCUGCAGGAUGCCAUUGCGCCAGCAGAUACAAAUACCACACUAGGGGAGGCCCCAACGGUGGAGAAGACUAUAGAGGAUACCUCGGUCGAGGCACC